Molecule: non-coding RNA, 111 nt
Organism: Paramuricea clavata
Lineage: Eukaryota; Metazoa; Cnidaria; Anthozoa; Malacalcyonacea; Plexauridae
Source: the annotation of a GenBank genome assembly
AUAUUGUUUUGUAGUAAGACGAAACAGAGUACCCUUUUCCGUCAACUAUGUUAUUUACAUAGUAAUAUGAAAAAGGGUACCCUUUUUCGUCUUAUUAUAAAAGAUCAUAUU